This 75-nucleotide transfer RNA is filed under the name Christensenellaceae bacterium. RNAcentral's name for it is "tRNA-Gln". It matches the Rfam family "tRNA". From Rfam's summary of the family: Transfer RNA (tRNA) molecules are approximately 80 nucleotides in length. Their secondary structure includes four short double-helical elements and three loops (D, anti-codon, and T loops). Further hydrogen bonds mediate the characteristic L-shaped molecular structure. tRNAs have two regions of fundamental functional importance: the anti-codon, which is responsible for specific mRNA codon recognition, and the 3' end, to which the tRNAs corresponding amino acid is attached (by aminoacyl-tRNA synthetases). tRNAs cope with the degeneracy of the genetic code in two manners: having more than one tRNA (with a specific anti-codon) for a particular amino acid; and 'wobble' base-pairing, i.e. permitting non-standard base-pairing at the 3rd anti-codon position. Lineage: Bacteria; Bacillati; Bacillota; Clostridia; Christensenellales; Christensenellaceae. The record is from RNAcentral.
AGGGGCGUCGCCAAGCGGUAAGGCAACAGACUUUGACUCUGUCAUUCGUAGGUUCAAAUCCUGCCGCCCCUGCCA